GAUGAACGCUGGCGGUGUGCCUAAUACAUGCAAGUCGAACGAACGGACGAUAAGCUCGCUUCUUUGAUGUUAGCGACGGACGGGCGAGUAACACGUGGAUCACCUACCUAUAAUACUGGGAUAACUACGUGAAACCGGAUCUAAUACCAGAGAAUAUUUUGAACGGGAUAGUGCAAAAGUUAAUGGCAGUUUUGCCGACUCAAAUAGCUGGAUCCGGGCUGCAUUAGCUAGUUGGUAAGGUAACGGCUUACCAAGGAGACGAUGCGUAGCUGAGCUGAGAGGAUGAUCAGCCACACUGGAACUGAGACACGGUCCAGACUCCUACGGGAGGCAGCAGUGGGGAAUCUUGCACAAUGGGCGCAAGCCUGAUGCAGCCACACCGCGUGAGUGAUGAAGGUCUUCGGGUUGUAAAGCUCUUUUAUUAGGAAAGAAAAGCUGCAUGUGUAUCCCUCGAUAUUUUGACGGUACCUAAACAGAAAGCACCGGCUAACUACGUG
Molecule: ribosomal RNA, 497 nt
Filed under: uncultured bacterium
Lineage: Bacteria
Description: partial 16S ribosomal RNA
Rfam family: Bacterial small subunit ribosomal RNA
Source: RNAcentral